RNAcentral lists this long non-coding RNA (1025 nucleotides) under Monomorium pharaonis (pharaoh ant). RNAcentral's name for it is "uncharacterized LOC114254120, transcript variant X2". The record is from RNAcentral. Lineage: Eukaryota; Metazoa; Arthropoda; Insecta; Hymenoptera; Formicidae.
AAAAUAACUGUGGAGCCAAUCAUCUCACACCAUUGUCUAGUUAUCUUUAUAAAGUAGAAAGCUGAUUGGCCGCCGCGCGCGCUGUGCUUUAUUCCCCAUUUUGUUUUGCGAUCAAAUAUUUCCGAAAGAAGAGGGAUGUCAUUACCACAUGUGCGAGAACCAUAACAAAUCACACACCUGCAUCAACCUGCUCCUACAGUAUGUCCAGUUGUAUAAUAAUAGUCAUUGAUAGUCAUUUAGAAUGGAAGUCGGCACUGAUACGGAUAUAAACAAUGAAAAAAAAAUUAUAAAGAUCUUACGAGCUAAUCGAGUCGAGUUGGCUUGUCAAACUACGGAGAAAAUCAUGAAACUAUACUACAAGUAUCUGGACAAACAAAGAGAUGUAACAACAAUACUGCAAAACAUGUAACUUUUUCCUUGAUUGUUAUAUAUCAACUGCAUACGUAUAUCUCAGAUUAUCAAGAAUGUACAUGGAUAACGCAAACUCUGGUGUAGAACGGAAAUUGCGCAGUCAGCAAAGAUAAUGUACAAAAAUUCUAGAUCUGCCAUCUUCAAAACAUACUACUUAUAUCCUUGACACUCGGCCAAUUAUAAAUCCAGAGGUAGACGACCAGUUAACGUUUCUAGUCAAGAUUGCCGACCAAGUGCGGUACAAGGAGAGCUACAAAAUGUUCAAUCAAACCUUUCUAAUUACAGUCACUGAUAAUAAAUGGAAAAUCGUAAAUGAUUGUUUUCGAACUGUAGAACUACUACAGUAGUACAAGUUAAUCGUCUGCAUCUGAAGAUUGCAAUAAAGGUAUUUGUGAUUAUAUGUGAUAAACGAUAACUUAUAAAAACAGCGAUAAUUUGUUAAGUAUUAGAAUUUUUGUAUUUAUGUAAUAAAAACUAUAUCAUAAAAACCAAUGUAUAUACGUCAUACUUGUUUAUAAUAGUAUAAUGUAAUUAAAUAAGAUACAAUUCUGUACACGUUGCACAUUACUAUUCGGGGCAAAAUCACGAACCAUUCAAAUUGAAAAAAAAAAAAA